Molecule: ribosomal RNA, 253 nt
Filed under: uncultured bacterium
Lineage: Bacteria
Description: partial 16S ribosomal RNA
Rfam family: Bacterial small subunit ribosomal RNA
Source: RNAcentral
UACGGAGGGUGCAAGCGUUAUCCGGAAUCACUGGGUUUAAAGGGUGCGUAGGCGGACUUGUAAGUCAGAGGUGAAAUCCCAUCGCUAAACGAUGGAACUGCCUUUGAUACUGCUUGUCUUGAAUUGUGUUGAGGUUAGCGGAAUGUGGCAUGUAGCGGUGAAAUGCAUAGAUAUGCCAUAGAACACCGAUUGCGAAGGCAGCUAACUGGACAUUUAUUGACGCUGAGGCACGAAAGCGUGGGGAGCGAACAGG